UACGAAGGGGGCUAGCGUUGUUCGGAUUUACUGGGCGUAAAGCGCACGUAGGCGGUCCUAUAAGUCAGUGCUGAAAUAUCCCGGCUUAACCGGGAGGGUGGCAUUGAUACUGCAGGACUUGAGUAAAGUUGAGGUAGGCGGAAUUGACGGUGUAGCGGUGAAAUGCUUAGAUAUCGUCAAGAACACCGAUAGUGUAGACAGCUUACUAAGCUUUAACUGACGCUGAGGCACGAAAGUGUGGGGAUCAAACAGG
RNAcentral lists this ribosomal RNA (253 nucleotides) under uncultured bacterium. Its description in RNAcentral is "partial 16S ribosomal RNA". It matches the Rfam family "Bacterial small subunit ribosomal RNA", at positions 524 to 776 of the family's 1533-position model. The record is from RNAcentral.